CUCCCUGCCACCUCCACAUCUCCCAGUCAGCCUCUUGUUGGCACACUGAAUCACUCUGGGGCCAACUCUCACUCUAUUACCCAGGCUGGAGUGCGGUGGCAUGAUCUCGGCUCACUGCAAACUCUGCCUCCCCAGUUCAAAUGAUUCUUCUGCCUUCUGCCUCAGCCUCCCAAAUAGCUGGAACUACAGCAAGGCCAACUUUUCUACCAGAUAACCCUGACCUCAUCCUGUCAGAAUUGAAUGGACCAAGAAUUGAGCUACCCUAAAAGGCCAGUUUUCUGGAAAUAGUUUGAAGAUACCGACUCAUGGUUAAAUGUUUCACAUUUACCCUCAGAAAUGAGUGCUACUGUUCAGAAACGGAGGUGCCCACUUUGCUUGUGGGAUUUAGGAGGAAAUGCCACACACUGUCAUAGAAAAAAUGGCGUCUCACUCUAUUGCCCAGGCUAGAGUACAAUAGUGCAAUCUUGGCUCACUGCAACCUCCCCCUCCCAGGUUCAAGCCAUUCUCCUGCCUCAGCCUCCCGAGUAGCUAGAACUACAAGCACGUGCACUGUACCCAGCUAAUUUUUUGUAUUUUUAGCAGAGACGGGGUUUCUCCAUGUUGGCCAGGCUGGUCUCGAACUCCUGACCUCAGGUAAUCCACCGCCUCAUCCUCCCAAAAUGCAUUAUCUCUUCCCAAAAUGCAUUAUCUAUUUCAUUAAGAAAAAGGAGAAAGCAACCAUGCUAAGCUUCAAAUAAAAGCAUGUGAGCACACCUGAUGACGCUAGACCCACUGGAAUCUCGCAUAACUCAUCCUGAACGUGUUGGGAAUCAAGUCUCUCAGGAUUAGCCCUGGUAAUCUGAAAGUCACCAGUCAUCAAGAAGUGGCAUCUCUACCAUGUGGUGCAAUCAUAGCCCUGAACUCAAAUUUCUGUCUGAUAUAUUUGAUGUGAUCCCUCCUUUUAUACCCUUUUAACUUCUGCUUGGAGAGACCCACUGACCUUGUAGCUGACUGUCAGAACUUUUCCUUGCCAG
This 1013-nucleotide long non-coding RNA is filed under the name Homo sapiens (human). RNAcentral describes it as "HSALNT0368642". The record is from RNAcentral. Lineage: Eukaryota; Metazoa; Chordata; Mammalia; Primates; Hominidae.